ACUCAAAUGAAUUGACGGGGGCCCGCACAAGCGGCGGAGCAUGUGGAUUAAUUCGAUGCAACGCGAAGAACCUUACCUGGGUUUGACAUGCACAGGACGUGCCUAGAGAUAGGUAUUCCCUUGUGGUCUGUGUGCAGGUGGUGCAUGGCUGUCGUCAGCUCGUGUCGUGAGAUGUUGGGUUAAGUCCCGCAACGAGCGCAACCCUUGUCUCAUGUUGCCAGCGCGUUAUGGCGGGGACUCGUGAGAGACUGCCGGGGUCAACUCGGAGGAAGGUGGGGAUGACGUCAAGUCAUCAUGCCCCUUAUGUCCAGGGCUUCACACAUGCUACAAUGGCCGGUACAAAGGGCUGCGAUGCCGUGAGGUGGAGCGAAUCCUUUCAAAGCCGGUCUCAGUUCGGAUCGGGGUCUGCAACUCGACCCCGUGAAGUCGGAGUCGCUAGUAAUCGCAGAUCAGCAACGCUGCGGUGAAUACGUUCCCGGGCCUUGUACACACCGCCCGU
Molecule: ribosomal RNA, 499 nt
Filed under: uncultured bacterium
Lineage: Bacteria
Description: bacterial SSU rRNA
Rfam family: Bacterial small subunit ribosomal RNA
Source: RNAcentral